This is a long non-coding RNA of Corythoichthys intestinalis (scribbled pipefish), 1192 nucleotides long. RefSeq lists it as uncharacterized. The record is from RefSeq and is a predicted model, not a curated record. The transcript has 3 exons. NCBI's taxonomy places the organism in Eukaryota, Metazoa, Chordata, Actinopteri, Syngnathiformes, Syngnathidae.
GAGAACGUUUGCGUUUUUUUCCUUUCCCGGAGGAGCCUCCGUCUAUCUUUUUCCCCUAACAGGACUGCGCAUAAACACGGAGAGGGACUGUAUACCAAACAUUUGCGACGCCGCCGAUGUUGUUUACACCGAACUUUAAUGUUCUUUGUUGAUGUUUUGCCGUUUGGGCUUGGAACAAAAAAAGCACGACAGUGAGCCCACAGUUAUCGGGAGAUAUGUUUAGGAACCUCUGUGAAGUUGGCGUAAAUCAGUGUUGUUUUCGUCAAUGAUGACGAUAACAAAAAUAUUUUGUCAACGAACAAUUUUUUCAUGACGAUGACUGGACGAUUACGAGCUAAAUAUGUGUCUUGGAAGACUAAAUCAUAACUAAACGAAUGCCACUUUUCCUCUGAGAAGACGAGAACGAGACGAAAAUGCCCCACACUUUUUUUCAAACAACUCACCAAUGUCCUCUCCAGGCUUGUUUUGUAACAAACACGGACUUGAGAUACGCGGACCUGCUAGUAAGACAGCAACCCGGAGCUGACGGACCCCCCCGACGCCGAAGCCCGCAAGUGGUCUUGAAGCACGCAGACCACUUUGGUGGGCACUUAACUCAGCUAUUUCCUCCACUUGUCUGCCAUUUUUCUUUUCAUGUGCACCUGCGUUUCUACUCUACGGCAAGCGCAGGUGCAAAAACAGCACCCAGACGACAAUAUUGCCAAACGACGUCCAUUUUUUUCGGGGCAUACAGUGCAAAAUAUUUACUGUAUGACUCAGCUCUUCUGGACAGUCCAAAACAAAUGGCGGGACAUCGUCCUGUGACAAGGAACAUCUGAUAACGAGGAACCCGCGACUGAGAAGGUGACACUCGGCACUCACGUGGCGCAUUGGUGGCAAAAUCCUCAACUCUCGUUGCCCUGACUACAGUCACGCCCGAAACCUUCCUGCCCUGUCCACACAGAGAAUAAUCCUAGACAAGCCCAAACACACCCUUCUUCCUGACCACACCCAGCCUCACCAGAGCCUUUAAAAGACUGAAUGUUUAACUAAUCGUUGUCUUUUCUCGAGAAUCUUUUCUUGACUUGUGAUUUGGUGACCCUGGAUCAUGGAUAUGAUUUCUGCCGACUUCGAAUAAAUUGUCAAAUUGUAUUCUGAAGCCUUUUUCCAGGUUUUAAAAUGGAGUCAGUACAAGAGAUUAAGACUAAGGUGA